AGUGGUUCCACUCUGCAAGAGAUAGGAGGAAAAGGAGGACAGCAGCUCCGAACCCUCUGUCUACCGCUGUUUGGCCUCAGAUGUGCCCAUGUCCAGCAACAAGAAGUCAGGGAGACGUCUGCGUCAAAGUCCCGAGGUUUCACCAGACAAUUAUAAAAGACUGAUCAAAGUCAAGACAGCACAAUGCUGACGACUUGGAGGCUCUCACACGCCCGACGGCCUGUUUGGAGACCAGUUGAUUGGAACAGCAAAAA
This is a long non-coding RNA of Scatophagus argus, 254 nucleotides long. RefSeq lists it as uncharacterized. The transcript has 3 exons. The record is from RefSeq and is a predicted model, not a curated record. Lineage: Eukaryota; Metazoa; Chordata; Actinopteri; Scatophagidae.